GCGCACGCUGGCGGCAGGCCUAACACAUGCCAGUCGAACGAACUCUUCGGAGUUAGUGGCGGACGGGUGAGUAACACGUGGGAACGUGCCUUUUUGUUCGGAAUAACUCAGGGAAACUUGUGCUAAUACCGAAUGUGCCCUUCGGGGGAAAGAUUUAUCGCCAUUAGAGCGGCCCGCGUCUGAUUAGCUAGUUGGUGAGGUAACGGCUCACCAAGGCGACGAUCAGUAGCUGGUCUGAGAGGAUGACCAGCCACACUGGGACUGAGACACGGCCCAGACUCCUACGGGAGGCAGCAGUGGGGAAUCUUGCGCAAUGGGCGAAAGCCUGACGCAGCCAUGCCGCGUGAAUGAUGAAGGUCUUAGGAUUGUAAAAUUCUUUCACCGGGGACGAUAAUGACGGUACCCGGAGAAGAAGCCCCGGCUAACUUCGUG
This 432-nucleotide ribosomal RNA is filed under the name uncultured bacterium. RNAcentral describes it as "partial 16S ribosomal RNA". It matches the Rfam family "Bacterial small subunit ribosomal RNA", at positions 29 to 507 of the family's 1533-position model. The record is from RNAcentral.